AGUUUGAUCCUGGCUCAGGAUGAACGCUAGCUACAGGCUUAACACAUGCAAGUCGAGGGGCAGCAUUGGAGUAGCAAUACUUCAGAUGGCGACCGGCGCACGGGUGAGUAACACGUAUCCAACCUGCCGCUUACUCGGGGAUAGCCUUUCGAAAGAAAGAUUAAUACCCGAUGGUAUAAAGAGUUCGCAUGUUCUCUUUAUUAAAGAAUUUCGGUAAGCGAUGGGGAUGCGUUCCAUUAGAUUGUUGGCGGGGUAACGGCCCACCAAGUCUACGAUGGAUAGGGGUUCUGAGAGGAAGGUCCCCCACAUUGGAACUGAGACACGGUCCAAAUCCUACGGGAGGCAGCAGUGAGGAAUAUUGGUCAAUGGACGAGAGUCUGAACCAGCCAAGUAGCGUGAAGGAUGACUGCCCUAUGGGUUGUAAACUUCUUUUAUAAGGGAAUAAAGUGAGGGACGUGUCCCUUUUUGUAUGUACCUUAUGAAUAAGGAUCGGCUAACUCCGUGCCAGCAGCCGCGGUAAUACGGAGGAUCCGAGCGUUAUCCGGAUUUAUUGGGUUUAAAGGGAGCGUAGGUUGACGUAUAAGUCAGCUGUGAAAGUUUACGGCUCAACCGUGAAAUUGCAGUUGAUACUGUAUGUCUUGAGUGUACAAGAGGUGGGCGGAAUUCGUGGUGUAGCGGUGAAAUGCUUAGAUAUCACGAAGAACUCCAAUUGCGAAGGCAGCUCACUGGGGUACAACUGACACUGAGGCUCGAAAGUGUGGGUAUCAAACAGGAUUAGAUACCCUGGUAGUCCACACAGUAAACGAUGAAUACUCGCUGUUUGCGAUAUACAGUAAGCGGCCAAGCGAAAGCAUUAAGUAUUCCACCUGGGGAGUACGCCGGCAACGGUGAAACUCAAAGGAAUUGACGGGGGCCCGCACAAGCGGAGGAACAUGUGGUUUAAUUCGAUGAUACGCGAGGAACCUUACCCGGGCUUGAAUUGCAGAGGAAUAUAGUUGAAAGAUUAUAGCCGCAAGGUCUCUGUGAAGGUGCUGCAUGGUUGUCGUCAGCUCGUGCCGUGAGGUGUCGGCUUAAGUGCCAUAACGAGCGCAACCCUUAUCAUUAGUUACUAACAGGUCAUGCUGAGGACUCUAGUGAGACUGCCGUCGUAAGAUGUGAGGAAGGUGGA
Molecule: ribosomal RNA, 1168 nt
Filed under: uncultured Bacteroides sp.
Lineage: Bacteria; Pseudomonadati; Bacteroidota; Bacteroidia; Bacteroidales; Bacteroidaceae
Description: bacterial SSU rRNA
Rfam family: Bacterial small subunit ribosomal RNA
Source: RNAcentral